This 1343-nucleotide ribosomal RNA is filed under the name uncultured bacterium. RNAcentral's name for it is "16S ribosomal RNA". It matches the Rfam family "Bacterial small subunit ribosomal RNA", at positions 28 to 1378 of the family's 1533-position model. The record is from RNAcentral.
GACGAACGCUGGCGGCGUGCUUAACACAUGCAAGUCGAACGGAAAGGCCCUGCUUUUGUGGGGUGCUCGAGUGGCGAACGGGUGAGUAACACGUGAGUAACCUGCCCUUGACUUUGGGAUAACUUCAGGAAACUGGGGCUAAUACCGGAUAGGAGCUCCUGCUGCAUGGUGGGGGUUGGAAAGUUUCGGCGGUUGGGGAUGGACUCGCGGCUUAUCAGCUUGUUGGUGGGGUAGUGGCUUACCAAGGCUUUGACGGGUAGCCGGCCUGAGAGGGUGACCGGCCACAUUGGGACUGAGAUACGGCCCAGACUCCUACGGGAGGCAGCAGUGGGGAAUAUUGCACAAUGGGCGGAAGCCUGAUGCAGCAACGCCGCGUGCGGGAUGACGGCCUUCGGGUUGUAAACCGCUUUCGCCUGUGACGAAGCGUGAGUGACGGUAAUGGGUAAAGAAGCACCGGCUAACUACGUGCCAGCAGCCGCGGUGAUACGUAGGGUGCGAGCGUUGUCCGGAUUUAUUGGGCGUAAAGGGCUCGUAGGUGGUUGAUCGCGUCGGAAGUGUAAUCUUGGGGCUUAACCCUGAGCGUGCUUUCGAUACGGGUUGACUUGAGGAAGGUAGGGGAGAAUGGAAUUCCUGGUGGAGCGGUGGAAUGCGCAGAUAUCAGGAGGAACACCAGUGGCGAAGGCGGUUCUCUGGGCCUUUCCUGACGCUGAGGAGCGAAAGCGUGGGGAGCGAACAGGCUUAGAUACCCUGGUAGUCCACGCUGUAAACGGUGGGUACUAGGUGUGGGGUCCAUUCCACGGGUUCCGUGCCGUAGCUAACGCUUUAAGUACCCCGCCUGGGGAGUACGGCCGCAAGGCUAAAACUCAAAGGAAUUGACGGGGCCCCGCACAAGCGGCGGAGCAUGCGGAUUAAUUCGAUGCAACGCGUAGAACCUUACCUGGGUUUGACAUGGAUCGGGAGUGCUCAGAGAUGGGUGUGCCUCUUUUGGGGUCGGUUCACAGGUGGUGCAUGGCUGUCGUCAGCUCGUGUCGUGAGAUGUUGGGUUAAGUCCCGCAACGAGCGCAACCCUUGUUCACUGUUGCCAGCACGUUAUGGUGGGGACUCAGUGGAGACCGCCGGGGUCAACUCGGAGGAAGGUGGGGAUGACGUCAAGUCAUCAUGCCCCCUAUGUCCAGGGCUUCACGCAUGCUACAAUGGCUGGUACAGAGAGUGGCGAGCCUGUGAGGGUGAGCGAAUCCCGGAAAGCCGGUCUCAGUUCGGAUUGGGGUCUGCAACUCGACCUCAUGAAGUCAGAGUCGCUAGUAAUCGCAGAUCAGCAACGCUGCGGUGAAUACGUUCCCGGG